UUUUUAUAUCGUAAAAUGGAUGUAACAUUUUAAAACUUUUUUGAAAGGUGAGAGAGAAAAACGUGUGAACCCAUAAACUUUAAGAAAUUAUUUCCUUUUUCGCAUAGGGCUGCCAGUACUUUGACUAUAUGAAGCAUGAUGUGGUGGGAAGAGUAAGCUUUGGGGCACAAAAAGAUGAGUAAUUGGAUCAAUUACAAAUGAAAAGAUGGGUGUUCCUACAAAGUACAGAUAUUUAAUCCUUUAUUGGUUUUAGACAUUUCAGAACAAGAAAAGACAAUUGGUGAGGACCAAAUUCAGUGAAUUAUUCUAAAAGAAAACAACAUGUUGGAACUUUUUAUCAUUUGAAAUCUAAAUUGAUUUUUCCAAAAUCCAUCCAGAGCCUGGUUAAUCCAAUUGCGGUAACAUGGCACACAAGGUUCCUGUACUUCAAUGUCAUUUGCUUUAGAGGAUAACUGCCUGCUGCUUUGAAAUGGACCCAACAGACUCUCCAAAGUGACUUUCAACUCUGCUGUACACUCUGUAUUGUAAGUCAAACCAUCCUCAGUGAAUUCCUCUCAAACAUGAUGGAAUUUCAUCCAGGUGUUAUGGUAUGCUAUAGUAUCACAGAGGCAAGCAGAGAGAAACUUUUAUUUAAAAUAAAAAUAUAUAUAUGCUUCUGUAUUUAUAGAUACUUCCUGGAAAGAAAAAUAAGACACUAUUAAUGACAGUAACCCUUGGCAACAGCAUAAAGUGUUAGCAUAGAGGGUGAAAAAGCACAAAUUUACUUUUUCACUUCUAUACCUUUUGAGAAUUUUAAAUCUUGAGUCUAUAAGUUUAUGAGCUCAGAAACAUCCUUCCCAGCUAUGUUUAGGGAUUGCUUCUGCUUACCGGCUUACAUGUCCUUACAAUCUGAGCUCCUCUCCUUCUUGUUCCGGAGCCCUUGCCUAGAGCUCUCUUCAAUUUCAGAAGAAAGAUUCUUUUUAUUUUAUAUAUUUUCAAAGUAGUUUAAUCUAAGGGAGAAACAGGUUAAAUCUUUAUAGAACAUUUGCAAAUGUACUUUGCUCUGUGUUGGCAUGUCCAGUGGACUCAUUCGAACCAUUUCACAAUAAUAAUAAGAGCUAGUGUUUAUUGAGCCUGGUCUAAAUGCUUUACAUGCAUUAACUCAUUGAAAGCUCUCCAGAACUCCCUAUGAUAGUACUAAUUCUAUCCACAUUGUUCACAUGAGGAAAGUAAAACACUGAGAGCUUGAGUAACUUGCCAAAGAGCUUAAGUAACUUGCUGGAAAGAGCAGAAUCAAGAUUCAAAACCUGGCAGUCAGACUCUAGAGUUGCCCUCUUAAGCUAUGCUCUUUGCGUGCAAAAAUUUUAAAGAGAUUUUUUCUAUGAAUUAAAAAUGAAGAAAUGUAUGUAUGCGACUUCCCUGGUAGUCCAGAGGUUAAGACUCCAUGCUCCCAAUGCAGGGAGCUGGAGUUCAAUCCUUGGUCAGGGAACUAGAUCCCGCAUGCUGCAACUGAAAAAAGAUCCCACAUGCUGCAACUAAAGAUCCCGCACGUCGCAACGAAGACCCUGCAUGACACAACAAUGACCUUGCGAGCCGCAACUAAGACCCGGUGCAGCCAAAUAAAUAAAUAAAUAUUAGGUAAAGAAAAAAGAAAUGUGUGUAUGGAUUUGAUCUAGUUCACUGUAAGUUUUUCAAAGUAAAAUUUUGGCUAGCUAGUUUCUAUUCAACAUGUUAUUUUAUUAUGAAUUGCUUUCCUUUCCUCCUGCUUUAUAUUAUACUUUAUAUAUAUAUAUAUAUAUAUGUAUAUAUAUAAACAUAUAUAUAUUUACUUUUGGGAAGUUUGUAUACAAGUUACAGUAUCUAUGGGUCUGAUAGAAUUGGGGACUGCUGGCUAGGGCAAUAGUUCCCAGUCUUUUGGAUUUCAAAAAAAGAUGGUAGUAGCUAUAGUACAAUGAAGAUACUAUGUUUAGUGGUCCCUUGACGAGUAGAUUCUCUCACUGACCUUUCAAGAUUAGAAUGCAGUUGUUGUAACUCAGUAUCCGUUGAGGCUGCCGUUUUCCCUUGGGGAUUUGUGGAAACUCGACGCCUUAAUUUCAAGCUUUGUGUGAGUACAGGGCCCUUUCUAUAUCCUUCCUAUGUCUCCACUCAGCUACUGCACUUGGGCACAAAGUUCAAGCCUAUCAGUAAUUUCCAUGAAAGCAAAAUAAAAUAAAGAAGCAGUACUUUUACUGAAGAUUUGGUGUCAGGCAAGUGGCAUCUGUUGUCUGUCACCAGAAGUAGAAGUCCAAGCACUUCUGCCCACUGCAUGUUAUUAUCAAAGUCUCCAAGGAAAACACAACACUGUCAAGCACUGGAAGGAACGAUGCUUUACUCACGUAAAGAGACAGGGCAAGAUCAGCUUCAGGAGUGCACAAUGGUUUCCCAUAGCCUGCGGGUCCCUCUCAGCAGCCUGCAUGAACCCCUCUUGUGCGGCAACAGAAGGACCUCAUCAGUUUCCUGCAGGGGACAGAUAUAGCAGUGGGGCUGGUCAGGUGUCAUAUGACACACACACACUAAACAGAACAAAAGAGUACACAUUGGGUGUGAAACACGGAAAGAUAUUCCCACACAGGUGACAAGUCUAACACAGGCUUCAGGUGCACUUUAUCUCUUGAUAAGUAAAUGUUCCAGGUCCCAGGCCCAUUCUUAUGCAACCAAGAAGAGACUGAAAGACUGUGUGCAUGAGACUGCCUUUCCAAAUAUUUAGAAAUAUCAUAGGGAAAUGAUCUAGAAAAGUACAGUGCAACAAAGUGCUAGGAGGCUGAGUGAGGAGGGAUUAGAGCAGGAAGGCAAGGGUAAGAGGAAAAGGAUAAGAAAAUGUGGUGAGAAAAUGGGAUAUUAAAGUUAGAAAUGCAUUAGAUCUUUUUCCUAAUGUGACUUAAAAUACCUAAAAUGACAGAUAAAUAUGACAUCUAUGGUUAAUAAUUUAAGUGGCUUAAAUACUUUUUUAAAGCUGGAAAUGCUAAAAAUAUUCUCUACAUGAAACACAAUGUGUCAUCAUUCAUUGCAUCUGAAAACAUUGAGUUAGUAGCAAAAUGUGGAGGAAAAAAUAUCCAUUCCAAGGAAAUUUCUAAAUCAAACUGCAAAGAUAUUAACAGAUAACGUUAUUAGUUUAAAAAUAAUUAUUGUCUAUAUUAAGCACGAAAUUCAACCAGAUUUUUAAUUAAAUAAAUAACUUGCCAACUGUUGUAGUCAAGUAUUUACAU
This is a non-coding RNA of Delphinapterus leucas (beluga whale), 3224 nucleotides long. The record is from RefSeq and is a predicted model, not a curated record. NCBI's taxonomy places the organism in Eukaryota, Metazoa, Chordata, Mammalia, Artiodactyla, Monodontidae.